UUAGAGUUUGAUCAUGGCUCAGAUUGAACGCUGGCGGCAGGCUUAACACAUGCAAGUCGAGCGGGGAAAGGUAGCUUGCUACCUGACCUAGCGGCGGACGGGUGAGUAAUGCUUAGGAAUCUGCCUAUUAGUGGGGGACAACGUUCCGAAAGGAACGCUAAUACCGCAUACGUCCUACGGGGGAAAGCAGGGGAUCUUCGGACCUUGCGCUAAUAGAUGAGCCUAAGUCGGAUUAGCUAGUUGGUGGGGUAAAGGCCUACCAAGGCGACGAUCUGUAGCGGGUCUGAGAGGAUGAUCCGCCACACUGGGACUGAGACACGGCCCAGACUCCUACGGGAGGCAGCAGUGGGGAAUAUUGGACAAUGGGCGCAAGCCUGAUCCAGCCAUGCCGCGUGUGUGAAGAAGGCCUUUUGGUUGUAAAGCACUUUAAGCGAGGAGGAGGCUCCUUUAGUUAAUACCUAAAGAGAGUGGACGUUACUCGCAGAAUAAGCACCGGCUAACUCUGUGCCAGCAGCCGCGGUAAUACAGAGGGUGCGAGCGUUAAUCGGAUUUACUGGGCGUAAAGCGUGCGUAGGCGGCUUUUUAAGUCGGAUGUGAAAUCCCUGAGCUUAACUUAGGAAUUGCAUUCGAUACUGGAAAGCUAGAGUAUGGGAGAGGAUGGUAGAAUUCCAGGUGUAGCGGUGAAAUGCGUAGAGAUCUGGAGGAAUACCGAUGGCGAAGGCAGCCAUCUGGCCUAAUACUGACGCUGAGGUACGAAAGCAUGGGGAGCAAACAGGAUUAGAUACCCCGGUAGU
This 794-nucleotide ribosomal RNA is filed under the name uncultured bacterium. RNAcentral describes it as "bacterial SSU rRNA". It matches the Rfam family "Bacterial small subunit ribosomal RNA", at positions 1 to 794 of the family's 1533-position model. The record is from RNAcentral.